This 497-nucleotide ribosomal RNA is filed under the name uncultured bacterium. Its description in RNAcentral is "partial 16S ribosomal RNA". It matches the Rfam family "Bacterial small subunit ribosomal RNA", at positions 28 to 507 of the family's 1533-position model. The record is from RNAcentral.
GAUGAACGCUGGCGGCGUGCCUAAUACAUGCAAGUCGAGCGAACAGACGAGGAGCUUGCUCCUCUGACGUUAGCGGCGGACGGGUGAGUAACACGUGGAUAACCUACCUAUAAGACUGGGAUAACUUCGGGAAACCGGAGCUAAUACCGGAUAAUAUAUUGAACCGCAUGGUUCAAUAGUGAAAGACGGUUUUGCUGUCACUUAUAGAUGGAUCCGCGCCGCAUUAGCUAGUUGGUAAGGUAACGGCUUACCAAUGCAACGAUGCGUAGCCGACCUGAGAGGGUGAUCGGUCACACUGGAACUGAUACACGUUCCAGACUCCUACGGGAGGCAGCAGUAGGGAAUCUUCCGCAAUGGGCGAAAGCCUGACGGAGCAACGCCGCGUGAGUUAUGAAGGUCUUCGGAUCGUAAAACUCUGUUAUUAGGGAAGAACAAAUGUGUAAGUAACUAUGCACGUCUUGACGGUACCUAAUCAGAAAGCCACGGCUAACUACGUG